RNAcentral lists this ribosomal RNA (484 nucleotides) under uncultured bacterium. RNAcentral describes it as "partial 16S ribosomal RNA". It matches the Rfam family "Bacterial small subunit ribosomal RNA", at positions 29 to 523 of the family's 1533-position model. The record is from RNAcentral.
AGUGAACGCUGGCGGCGUGCUUAACACAUGCAAGUCGAACGAGAACGGAUUAUAGCUUGCUAUAAUUGUCAGCUAAGUGGCGCACGGGUGAGUAAUGUAUAGGUAUUAUGCCUCUUACUAAGGGAUAACAAAUGGAAACGUUUGCUAAUACCUUAUACUCCUUAUUAACAUAAGUUAAUAAGGGAAAGAUUUAUUGGUAAGAGAUUAGCCUGUAUUGUAUCAGUUAGUUGGUGGGGUAAUGGCUUACCAAGACUAUGACACAUAACUGGUUUGAGAGGAUGAUCAGUCACACUGGAACUGAGACACGGUCCAGACUCCUACGGGAGGCAGCAGUGGGGAAUAUUGCACAAUGGACGAAAGUCUGAUGCAGCAACGCCGCGUGGAGGAUGACACAUUUCGGUGCGUAAACUCCUUCUAUAUGAGAAGAUAAUGACGGUAUUAUAUGAAUAAGCACCGGCUAACUCCGUGCCAGCCGCCGCGGUAA